Molecule: non-coding RNA, 106 nt
Organism: Sphingobacterium faecium PCAi_F2.5
Lineage: Bacteria; Pseudomonadati; Bacteroidota; Sphingobacteriia; Sphingobacteriales; Sphingobacteriaceae
Source: Rfam
UUAGCUAUUUUAGAUAGGUUUGUAUUCAUAACAUUAUGGGUACAGACAACAAACGUUUGUAUCUAUAAUGGCUAGGGAAAUUUAAGAUGACUUUCAGCCAUGUAGA